This 245-nucleotide long non-coding RNA is filed under the name Chinchilla lanigera (long-tailed chinchilla). RNAcentral's name for it is "lncRNA (ENSCLAG00000027706.1)". Lineage: Eukaryota; Metazoa; Chordata; Mammalia; Rodentia; Chinchillidae. The record is from RNAcentral.
GUGAGACUGUCACUAGGAUUCCUCGCACAACAGCAAGGAAUCUCCAGGAAAUCGCCACUGAGGGCGCUGUGGGCAGGCCCUUGAAGGGCUGCGGGACUGAAGCCCGUCUGACCUUAACCACCACAUGGAAAAUUCUAAGAAAUAUACGCUAAAGGAGCUGCGUUUGGGCAUUUGGUCAGUGCCUUCCCACGACAACACUACUCACUGGAGUCACAGUGGAGAACAUCAUGAAACCUUAAUUGGCC